Molecule: non-coding RNA, 30 nt
Filed under: Rattus norvegicus (Norway rat)
Lineage: Eukaryota; Metazoa; Chordata; Mammalia; Rodentia; Muridae
Source: RNAcentral
UCAAACGGAACCCCCUUCUUACACGACAGC